Molecule: long non-coding RNA, 406 nt
Filed under: Lathyrus oleraceus (garden pea)
Lineage: Eukaryota; Viridiplantae; Streptophyta; Magnoliopsida; Fabales; Fabaceae
Description: Pisum sativum (pea) long non-coding RNA (PSAT_LNC015656)
Source: RNAcentral
CACCACUAAUAUUUUCAUCCCAAACCCCUUAUUUCACAUUCAAGCUCAACACCAUUUCUACCUAGCUUUUUUCACAUUUUUGUGGGUAAUGAUUUUAACUUAAACUUUUUAAGUUUUUGUUUCUUUUUUUUAUUUAUUAAAAAUGAUUGCUUGUUCUUGGUUGGUCUUUUGAGAUGGUUUAGAUUCAAGCUUGCAAAAAAAGAUUGACUUUGGUUUACUCACCUUUUUUUUUUUUAAAGAUUUUUUACUCUUACUAUCUUUUUUUUCACCUUUUUGUGGUUGCUUUGUGUGUGUUAUCAUUUUCUUUUAUUAUGGACUUGUUGUUGUGUUUGUUUGGUUGAUGAGGUCUAUUAGAUCUUGACCAUGGUUGUUUAGAGUUGAUUAAAUCUUCAAUGUUUCAAAUCUA